RNAcentral lists this ribosomal RNA (253 nucleotides) under uncultured bacterium. Its description in RNAcentral is "partial 16S ribosomal RNA". It matches the Rfam family "Bacterial small subunit ribosomal RNA", at positions 524 to 776 of the family's 1533-position model. The record is from RNAcentral.
UACGGAGGGUGCAAGCGUUAAUCGGAAUUACUGGGCGUAAAGCGCGUGUAGGCGGCUAUGUAAGUCGGAUGUGAAAUCCCUCGGCUCAACCGAGGAAGUGCAUCCGAUACUGCAUAGCUUGAGUCUCGGAGAGGGUUGUGGAAUUCCCGGUGUAGAGGUGAAAUUCGUAGAUAUCGGGAGGAACACCAGUGGCGAAGGCGACAACCUGGACGAUGACUGACGCUGAGACGCGAAAGCGUGGGGAGCAAACAGG